CUGCUCUGCCACAGCCCUCUCUUCCCGUUCACCGUAUUUCCGGGGCAAUUUCAAACUUCCUGCCGCGCAUCGAUCUUCUUCUAGCUCUAUCGAACGCGGCAAGUAUCUUCUUCUUUGUUCCCGAUUCCUUCUCCUCUUUGUUCUUAAGUCACUGAAAGAUUUCAAGCCUUUCGACUCGUAACGACGAUCGGUCGGUCUCCAUAAAAUGUACACCAUUCAGUCACGAGGAUCCCGGUGGGUCGUAUUCUACAGGACAGUGUGGUUUGCGGUACCUUUUGUAAGUUUCACGUUAAUAGCCUGUGUACUCCCACGCGCCACAUUAGGCCCCCCUUCAUUGUCGAGCAGGAGGCUCGAAUUUGCGAGGGAAUUUACAUCGGCGAUAUAAAUACAAUGGACUUGGAUUAUCCGGACGCGAUGGAACUGGGUGAUUUGAAUUUCGAUGAACGGCAGACCUUCUUCUCGAUACUUCGAUGACAAGUGGAAUUUUAGUUUGUAAAAAACGAGGCUAUGUACAGUAAUGAGAAUGGUCCCGGGGCUUACCAAACCUUCCCCUAGAUUCGAUUCCCCCCGGGCUUUUUGAAUAUUCAAAUUGAUUAGUAAAAAAGAUAAACGACAGAGGACGCUGCGAGCAGAAUAUUCCGAGUAUUUCGGAGUAGAAAGUAGACUGAUUUAUUUGAAUUCUAUUCUAUUAGCUGAAUUUAUAGUUCACUAAAAUUUGUGUAUUACAGAUGCUUGUUUCUUAGAAAAGUAUGUUAGUGUUUGUUACAAGUAACCCAAGAAUGAUUCUUCGUUAUAUCACAGAACUUGGGUGAUUAAUUGAUGUUGCAAGUAGGAAUGUUACAAGAUAUAUUGUUUUCAACAUUUGAUAUUUAUAAGUAUGACAGGGAAAACAAGCUUUGUUGCGAACAGAUGAAGGUGAGCCAUUGAACAAUGCUGCUGCUGACUUAGGUAUAAGAAUGUCAACUGUUUCUGAAUGCAAGAGGAUCAGAAAGGAAAUUGAAGGUUUUUGUGCUAAAAUGGUUUCCAAAGAUAAUUUAAUCAAAAGAGAAGCUCUUAAAAGACCUAAGAAUGUAAUGCCUCAAUGAAAUGUUAGGUUCUCAUCCUACAUUUACUGAAAGCAUGGGGUAGCUGGAAAACACCCCAUGGAAUAGAACUUAAUUUUCCUGGGGAAGGUCUGUUGGAAGAUCCUAUUCCAAAUGAUAAUUCAGAUCAUCUGUUAGUAUUAGAAUAUGUUUAUUAAUACAAGAUGAAGAUAGAACUUGAAGCUUUACUAAUAUUGGAUGACAUCAAGAAUCAACAAAUGUGAGUCACUCUGAAGCAAUAGAAAUACUUGAUAAAGUGACACUACGAAAAAUAAACUAAUAAUUUUAAGACAUUUUACACGUCCUCAAGAAGAAGAUGCAAAGAAGAGUUUGCAACAACCAGAAACUGAUGAUUUUCUUAAAUAACGUUCACUGAUGUAUAUUAUGUAAUUUUUUAA
Long non-coding RNA from Osmia bicornis bicornis, 1480 nucleotides. RefSeq lists it as uncharacterized. The record is from RefSeq and is a predicted model, not a curated record. NCBI's taxonomy places the organism in Eukaryota, Metazoa, Arthropoda, Insecta, Hymenoptera, Megachilidae. The transcript has 3 exons.